RNAcentral lists this long non-coding RNA (473 nucleotides) under Fukomys damarensis (Damara mole-rat). RNAcentral describes it as "lncRNA (ENSFDAG00000029534.1)". The record is from RNAcentral. Lineage: Eukaryota; Metazoa; Chordata; Mammalia; Rodentia; Bathyergidae.
CCUAGUGUUCAGAUACCUGGGGAAAUGGCUCUGGUUCCUUUGGAGAAAAAUUGAGAGAAUCAUGACUCUGCAGAUCAUCUUUCCCAUGCCUUGGUCACCUCUCCAGUCAGUGGAGUCUCUGUUCAAACACUGGCAGAGGGACUUCUCCAUUUCUUAGAAAGGUAAAUCAAGCGUCACAUCAACUGAAUGACUUCAUGUGGACUAAACCCAAAAUGCGAGCCUACAGGAUGCCUUCAGGAGUUCUGCGUGAACUAUCAAUGAAGCACUCUCCAGGAGCAGAAAAAUGUGUCCGCCUGCAGAAAUACAACCCAGUCACAAAUGUACACAUGCAAAUAUGUCAAACUCAGAAGUGCUGUGUUAGCUCCGCAAGACAAAAAUAAAAGCCAACUUGUAAUUCUUGAAUGCCUGUUUGCUAGGCAUCACUUUUCUCAAAAAUCCUCUGAGGCAAGUACAGUUCUUAUUGUCUUCAUUUU